Molecule: ribosomal RNA, 253 nt
Filed under: uncultured bacterium
Lineage: Bacteria
Description: partial 16S ribosomal RNA
Rfam family: Bacterial small subunit ribosomal RNA
Source: RNAcentral
UACGUAGGUGGCAAGCGUUAUCCGGAUUUAUUGGGCGUAAAGCGAACGCAGGCGGUCUUUUAAGUCUGAUGUGAAAGCCUUCGGCUUAACCGGAGUAGUGCAUUGGAAACUGGGAGACUUGAGUGCAGAAGAGGAGAGUGGGACUCCAUGUGUAGCGGUGAAAUGCGUAGAUAUAUGGAAGAACACCAGUGGCGAAAGCGGCUCUCUGGUCUGUAACUGACGCUGAGGUUCGAAAGCGUGGGUAGCAAACAGG